RNAcentral lists this ribosomal RNA (467 nucleotides) under uncultured bacterium. RNAcentral's name for it is "partial 16S ribosomal RNA". It matches the Rfam family "Bacterial small subunit ribosomal RNA", at positions 28 to 507 of the family's 1533-position model. The record is from RNAcentral.
GACGAGCGCUGGCGGCGUGCUUAACACAUGCAAGUCGAACGGAAAGGCCCUGCUUUUGUGGGGUGCUCGAGUGGCGAACGGGUGAGUAACACGUGAGUAACCUGCCCUUGACUUUGGGAUAACUUCAGGAAACUGGGGCUAAUACCGGAUAGGAGCUCCUGCUGCAUGGUGGGGGUUGGAAAGUUUCGGCGGUUGGGGAUGGACUCGCGGCUUAUCAGCUUGUUGGUGGGGUAGUGGCUUACCAAGGCUUUGACGGGUAGCCGGCCUGAGAGGGUGACCGGCCACAUUGGGCUGAGAUACGGCCCAGACUCCUACGGGAGGCAGCAGUGGGGAAUAUUGCACAAUGGGCGGAAGCCUGAUGCAGCAACGCCGCGUGCGGGAUGACGGCCUUCGGGUUGUAAACCGCUUUCGCCUGUGACGAAGCGUGAGUGACGGUAAUGGGUAAAGAAGCACCGGCUAACUACGUG